AAAUAUUAAGCACAUUAUUUUGUUUUUUUACUUUUAAAUAUGUUUUUACCGUUAGAAUUAGCUAGUAAAAAAUUAGUUAAAUAUAAGUUAAAUAUUUAACUCUAUUUAGUUUUUAAUAUUUUUACCCCUUUAUAUUAUACUGUUAUAAUUUUUAGAGUGAUAAAUUUGUAAUGGUAAAAUUGAAAAUAUAAAUAGUUUUCUAACGAUUCUCUAAUGAUAACAAACUAGAGGAACAUAUUUAAAAAUAUUAGAAUUUUUGUAUGAACAAUAUAUGAAAGUUGAACUUUGUAGAAAUAUAUUUGCUAUUCAGUAUGUUUGCAGGGACCUAUAUGAAAUUAACCUUAUUAAAAAUAUUCUUUUAACGUUCUAGUUUUUUCAGAUAUAUCCCAAGAGUUAAAUUUUAUUAGUGAACUAUUAGCAACAGGCAUUAUAUCUGUAAAAUUACUAUUUUGUCCUUUUAAAUAUAUUCUUCUCCCAUCACCAAUAUUUUUUAUUUUAUUUGCCCUUAAGUUAUGUAAGUUAGGGGCCAAAAAAGUAUUUUGAUUUUUUAUCUUUUCAAAUAUACCUUUCCACUAUCACCAGUUUUUUUUUUUAUUUGCCUUUAAAUUAAAGACAAAAGAGGUAUUUUAAUUUUUUUACUUAUAGAAAUUUAACCCACGUUUAACUCGAGAAAACUCAAGGGGUAUUAAUAGCUGGGGUAUUUUUUGAAUAACAGAACAAUAUACGAGAGGUAUAUUAGAAAUAAAAAAGUAAAGGUAUAUUAGAUAUUUCAGAAAUUUUUAGAGGCAUAUUAGAUAUUAUCUCUAAUUUAAAAUAAAUGAUAA
This 824-nucleotide long non-coding RNA is filed under the name Ananas comosus (pineapple). RNAcentral describes it as "long non-coding RNA (ACOM_LNC003343)". Lineage: Eukaryota; Viridiplantae; Streptophyta; Magnoliopsida; Poales; Bromeliaceae. The record is from RNAcentral.